UGCAGUCGAACGAUACUCUUUAGCUUGCUAGAGAGGAAAGUGGCGCACGGGUGCGUAACGCGUAUGCAACCUACCUUAAUCAGGGGGAUAGCCCGAAGAAAUUCGGAUUAACACCGCAUAAAAUCACAGUACAGCAUUGUACAAUGAUCAAAUAUUUAUAGGAUUAAGAUGGGCAUGCGUGACAUUAGUUAGUUGGCGGGGUAACGGCCCACCAAGACCACGAUGUCUAGGGGAUCUGAGAGGAUGACCCCCCACACUGGUACUGAGACACGGACCAGACUCCUACGGGAGGCAGCAGUAAGGAAUAUUGGUCAAUGGAGGCAACUCUGAACCAGCCAUGCCGCGUGCAGGAAGACAGCCCUCUGGGUCGUAAACUGCUUUUAUUCGGGAAUAAACCUACUUACGUGUAAGUAGCUGAAUGUACCGAAGGAAUAAGGAUCGGCUAACUCCGUGCCAGCAGCCGCGGUAAUACGGAGGAUCCAAGCGUUAUCCGGAUUUAUUGGGUUUAAAGGGUGCGUAGGCGGCUUUUUAAGUCAGGGGUGAAAGACGGUGGCUCAACCAUCGCAGUGCCCUUGAUACUGAAGAGCUUGAAUGAAUUAGAGGUAGGCGGAAUGUGACAAGUAGCGGUGAAAUGCAUAGAUAUGUCACAGAACACCGAUUGCGAAGGCAGCUUACUAUGAUUUUAUUGACGCUGAGGCACGAAAGCGUGGGGAUCAAACAGGAUUAGAUACCCUGGUAGUCCACGCCCUAAACGAUGAAUACUCGCUGUUAGCGAUACACAGUUAGCGGCUAAGCGAAAGCGUUAAGUAUUCCACCUGGGGAGUACGGUCGCAAGAUUGAAACUCAAAGGAAUUGACGGGGGCCCGCACAAGCGGAGGAGCAUGUGGUUUAAUUCGAUGAUACGCGAGGAACCUUACCCGGGCUUGAAAGUUAGUGAAUCAUUUAGAGAUAGAUGAGUCCGCAAGGACACGAAACUAGGUGCUGCAUGGCUGUCGUCAGCUCGUGCCGUGAGGUGUUGGGUUAAGUCCCGCAACGAGCGCAACCCCUAUGUUUAGUUGCCAGCACGUCAUGGUGGGGACUCUAAACAGACUGCCUGUGCAAACAGAGAGGAAGGAGGGGACGACGUCGAGUCAUCAUGGCCCUUACGUCCGGGGCUACACACGUGCUACGAUGGAUGGUACAGAGGGCAGCGAGCUGGUAACAGCGAGCGAAUCUCCGAAAGCCGUUCACAGUUCGGAUAGAGGUCUGCGACUCGACCUCUUGAAGUUGGAUUCGCUAGUAAUCGUAUAUCAGCGAUGAUACGGUGAAUACGUUCCCGGGCCUUGUACACACCGCCCGUCAAGCCAUGUUAGUUG
This 1355-nucleotide ribosomal RNA is filed under the name Pedobacter cryoconitis. RNAcentral's name for it is "bacterial SSU rRNA". It matches the Rfam family "Bacterial small subunit ribosomal RNA", at positions 56 to 1413 of the family's 1533-position model. The record is from RNAcentral. Lineage: Bacteria; Pseudomonadati; Bacteroidota; Sphingobacteriia; Sphingobacteriales; Sphingobacteriaceae.